RNAcentral lists this ribosomal RNA (253 nucleotides) under uncultured Alteromonadales bacterium. RNAcentral describes it as "partial 16S ribosomal RNA". It matches the Rfam family "Bacterial small subunit ribosomal RNA", at positions 524 to 776 of the family's 1533-position model. Lineage: Bacteria; Pseudomonadati; Pseudomonadota; Gammaproteobacteria; Alteromonadales. The record is from RNAcentral.
UACGUAGGGUGCAAGCGUUAAUCGGAAUUACUGGGCGUAAAGCGCACGUAGGCGGCUUGUUAAGUCGGAUGUGAAAGCCCCGGGCUCAACCUGGGAAUGGCAUCCGAUACUGGCAAGCUAGAGUACAAGAGAGGGUGGUAGAAUUUCUAGUGUAGCGGUGAAAUGCGUAGAUAUUAGAAGGAAUACCGGUGGCGAAGGCGGCCACCUGGCUUGAUACUGACGCUGAGGUGCGAAAGCGUGGGGAGCAAACAGG